This 253-nucleotide ribosomal RNA is filed under the name uncultured bacterium. RNAcentral's name for it is "partial 16S ribosomal RNA". It matches the Rfam family "Bacterial small subunit ribosomal RNA", at positions 524 to 776 of the family's 1533-position model. The record is from RNAcentral.
UACGUAGGGGGCAAGCGUUGUCCGGAAUCAUUGGGCGUAAAGAGCGUGUAGGCGGCUCGGUAAGUCCGCUGUGAAAGUCCAGGGCUCAACCCUGGAAUGCCGGUGGAAACUGUCGAGCUAGAGUCCGGAAGAGGCGAGUGGAAUUCCUGGUGUAGCGGUGAAAUGCGCAGAUAUCAGGAGGGACACCAAUGGCGAAGGCAGCUCGCUGGGACGGUACUGACGCUGAGACGCGAAAGCGUGGGGAGCAAACAGG